UGUUAGGACUGAUAUGCAGAAGAUAACACCACUGAAACCAGGAAGGACAUUAUGAUCUGCAACCGUCUAUGCGCUCCCUGUACUUACCACAUAGGCUCGGACGUGACAUGACGGUGCGGUCUUCCGACACACACCUGUAAACAAAGAUCAUAAUAUGAAGCAGUCCAUCAUGAGAACAGCAGGCUUCCUAUUUGUGAAAGUCCUCUUCACUACACACGUUUUAUGCAGUAUACCUCAGCUGAUCUGCCCUGACAUAUCCUACCUUAAUGAAUCUGCCAGCAUCACCUGCUUUACAAACUCACCAUUCAAGUUUCUCCGGUACGAAACACCGG
Molecule: long non-coding RNA, 332 nt
Organism: Haliotis rufescens (red abalone)
Lineage: Eukaryota; Metazoa; Mollusca; Gastropoda; Lepetellida; Haliotidae
Exons: 3
Source: RefSeq, a predicted model, not a curated record